GGCACUUUGGCCGAGCGGUCUAAGGCGCCGUGUUCAGGUUCUUUGUUGGAAUCCUUUCGCGGUCUAGAAAUAGGCGUGGGUUCGAAUCCCACAGGUGUCA
RNAcentral lists this transfer RNA (100 nucleotides) under Escovopsis weberi. It matches the Rfam family "tRNA". From Rfam's summary of the family: Transfer RNA (tRNA) molecules are approximately 80 nucleotides in length. Their secondary structure includes four short double-helical elements and three loops (D, anti-codon, and T loops). Lineage: Eukaryota; Fungi; Ascomycota; Sordariomycetes; Hypocreales; Hypocreaceae. The record is from Rfam by way of RNAcentral.